GACUGCUAAUACCGAAUGUGCCUUAGGGUGAAAGAUUUAUUGUCUAGAGAUUGGCUCGCGUCAGAUUAGCUAGUUGGAGUGGUAACGGCACACCAAGGCGACGAUCUGUACUUGGUCUGAGAGGAUGACCAGGCACACUGGAACUGAGACACGGUCCAGACUCCUACGGGAGGCAGCAGUGGGGAAUUUUCCGCAAUGGGCGAAAGCCUGACGGAGCAAUACCGCGUGAGGGAGGACGGCUUUUGGGUUGUAAACCUCUUUUAUCAGGGAAGAAUCGAUGACGGUACCUGAUGAAUCAGCAUCGGCUAACUCCGUGCCAGCAGCCGCGGUAAUACGGAGGAUGCAAGCGUUAUCCGGAAUUAUUGGGCGUAAAGCGUCCGUAGGUGGUUUAUCAAGUCUGCUGUCAAAGCGUGCGGCUUAACCGCAUAAGGGCAGUGGAAACUGAUGAACUAGAGUGCGAUAGGGGUAACAGGAAUUCCCAGUGUAGCGGUGAAAUGCGUAGAUAUUGGGAAGAACACCAGCGGCGAAAGCGUGUUACUGGGUCUGCACUGACACUGAGGGACGAAAGCUAGGGGAGCGAAAGGGAUUAGAUACCCCC
This 598-nucleotide ribosomal RNA is filed under the name Leptolyngbya sp. NK1-10. Its description in RNAcentral is "bacterial SSU rRNA". It matches the Rfam family "Bacterial small subunit ribosomal RNA", at positions 158 to 789 of the family's 1533-position model. Lineage: Bacteria; Bacillati; Cyanobacteriota; Cyanophyceae; Leptolyngbyales; Leptolyngbyaceae. The record is from RNAcentral.